RNAcentral lists this long non-coding RNA (323 nucleotides) under Sciurus vulgaris (Eurasian red squirrel). RNAcentral's name for it is "lncRNA (ENSSVLG00005008765.1)". Lineage: Eukaryota; Metazoa; Chordata; Mammalia; Rodentia; Sciuridae. The record is from RNAcentral.
GCGCGGCGGACAUGCGCGCCCCCGGCCCGGGCUGCGGCUGAGCGGGGCCGAGAGCGGCCGCCUCGACGGGCCGGGGCUGUGGGCGCUCGGCGGCCGGACCUGUGCUCCGCGAGGCCUCUGUGGGCUCCGAGAAGCUGUUUUCGCCAGCAGCUGGGAAAGGUGAGUCUGUCCUCGGCGAACUCCUGCCUCAGGUCUCCAGAUUCAGAGGGCUGUGCAGGACUUGGGAGGGUUGGUGGUCCAGGAACGCUGGGUGAGGGCCACAGGGAGCAGUUGUCUUUGGGGCAAGCAGCUUUCCCUGAUCUCCAGGGGAGGUCCGAAAGAGG